This 232-nucleotide long non-coding RNA is filed under the name Lathyrus oleraceus (garden pea). RNAcentral's name for it is "Pisum sativum (pea) long non-coding RNA (PSAT_LNC000136)". The record is from RNAcentral. Lineage: Eukaryota; Viridiplantae; Streptophyta; Magnoliopsida; Fabales; Fabaceae.
AAAGAAGAACCUUAAUCCCCUUCUCUUCAAUCACCAUUGUUGCUCAAGUACAAUCUCUCAAGCACCAUUGUUUCUAAUUCGAAUGUAAGUUUAAUCACCAUUUACGACACUCGCAGCUCGCAACUCAAACGUAUCUGCAACAUUUGUUUUUUAGGAUUUAAAGUUUGCGAAGAUGAAAAAGGGACAUUUCGAUAACAAUGAAGAAGUGAAGUUUUGUUUAAGGUAUGUUUUG